This 29-nucleotide transfer RNA is filed under the name Spiranthes sinensis. RNAcentral describes it as "partial tRNA-Gly". The record is from RNAcentral. Lineage: Eukaryota; Viridiplantae; Streptophyta; Magnoliopsida; Asparagales; Orchidaceae.
GCGGAUAUGGUCAAAUGGUAAAAUCUCUG